CUGCUCUUGCCCUCUCCAGCU
This 21-nucleotide unclassified non-coding RNA is filed under the name Mus musculus (house mouse). Its description in RNAcentral is "oocyte_clustered_small_RNA394". Lineage: Eukaryota; Metazoa; Chordata; Mammalia; Rodentia; Muridae. The record is from RNAcentral.